UAAUGAAAUUAUAAAAACUUCAACCUAAGUAUGCGUUCCUUUUCAGCCGCCAACCCCAUUACUCCCUUUUCCCGUUUCUUUCUUUUACAACGUUCUCUCUUCUUCACGUGAACGGAGCAAAUCAACGGAAUCGCUGGCUAUAUAGCCCGAUGCCUUCUCUCUUUUCAGGGUAUAUUUAAUCUAUUGAAUGCAAGAAGAUGAAGGAUUCAAAAUUGAUACAAAGAGUAAAAUUACUUCAUCCUUGGCUACAGAGAUCAAAUACUUUGAAUUUAGUUUUGUUUUGAUGUGGAACCCUUCAAAAUUUUAUAGAUCGUAGUUAAAUAACCGAUUGUACUUUAGAUAGACAAUUGUAUAUUUUACAAUUAAUUUUUAAAACUAUCUAGAUGACAAUUUGUAUAAUAAAGUGAUAUUCAAAAUUUAUUACUGUA
This is a long non-coding RNA of Nicotiana attenuata, 428 nucleotides long. RefSeq lists it as uncharacterized. Lineage: Eukaryota; Viridiplantae; Streptophyta; Magnoliopsida; Solanales; Solanaceae. The transcript has 2 exons. The record is from RefSeq and is a predicted model, not a curated record.